RNAcentral lists this ribosomal RNA (479 nucleotides) under uncultured bacterium. RNAcentral describes it as "partial 16S ribosomal RNA". It matches the Rfam family "Bacterial small subunit ribosomal RNA", at positions 28 to 507 of the family's 1533-position model. The record is from RNAcentral.
GAUGAACGCUAGCGGGAGGCCUAACACAUGCAAGCCGAGCGGUAUUUGUCCUUCGGGACAGAGAGAGCGGCGUACGGGUGCGGAACACGUGUGCAACCUGCCUUUAUCUGGGGGAUAGCCUUUCGAAAGGAAGAUUAAUACCCCAUAAUAUAUCGAAUGGCAUCAUUCGAUAUUGAAAACUCCGGUGGAUAGAGAUGGGCACGCGCAAGAUUAGAUGGUUGGUGAGGUAACGGCUCACCAAGUCAGUGAUCUUUAGGGGGCCUGAGAGGGUGAUCCCCCACACUGGUACUGAGACACGGACCAGACUCCUACGGGAGGCAGCAGUGAGGAAUAUUGGACAAUGGGUGAGAGCCUGAUCCAGCCAUCCCGCGUGAAGGACUAAGGCCCUAUGGGUUGUAAACUUCUUUUAUACUGGGAUAAACCUACUUACGUGUAAGUAGCUGAAGGUACAGUAUGAAUAAGCACCGGCUAACUCCGUG